RNAcentral lists this ribosomal RNA (313 nucleotides) under uncultured bacterium. RNAcentral's name for it is "bacterial SSU rRNA". It matches the Rfam family "Bacterial small subunit ribosomal RNA", at positions 193 to 507 of the family's 1533-position model. The record is from RNAcentral.
AUAUGUUGUUAAAGGUUUACCGCCUUGGGAUAGGCUUGCGUCUGAUUAGCUAGUUGGUGUGGUAACGGCACACCAAGGCUACGAUCAGUAACUGGUCUGAGAGGAUGAUCAGUCACACUGGAACUGAGACACGGUCCAGACUCCUACGGGAGGCAGCAGUGAGGAAUAUUGGGCAAUGCUCGAAAGAGUGACCCAGCAACGCCGCGUGGAGGAUGAAGGUAUUCUAUAUCGUAAACUCCUGUGAGAGCAGACGAAAGACAGAUUAUUAAUCUGGAUGACUGUAUGCUCAGAGGAAGCCCCGGCUAACUACGUG